This 1109-nucleotide long non-coding RNA is filed under the name Piliocolobus tephrosceles (Ugandan red Colobus). Its description in RNAcentral is "lncRNA (ENSPTEG00000026385.1)". The record is from RNAcentral. Lineage: Eukaryota; Metazoa; Chordata; Mammalia; Primates; Cercopithecidae.
GGUUGCUGUGGGGGGCCUUCAUUCACCGGCCAGUUCUCGGCCCGGUGGAGCCUGCUCCCCGCCUGGAGCGUGGGGGAGUGAUGGACGCGUGAGUGUCCAACAGGGGCAGUGCAGAGCAGGGGCAGUGCAGAGCAGGGGCAGCGCCUUCAGUGCAGGGUAAAAAGCCACUGCCAGCCAGGGGCAACUGGCCUCCAAAACCCCCAAGGACGCAGUGGGGUUACCUUCAGUUAAAUGUGACUACAACUGGAGCUGCUGUGCUAUGAGAGCUCAGAAGCCCCAGGCAGCUUUGUCUGGACACAGUUGCAGCAGGGAACAAGCUGAAGCCGGAAUCAGCCGUGGGUCACUGCGUGGUGCACCACGACAAGCGUGUUCACCUUUCCUCCUCACCGGGGUCCACACAAGGGUCCUGCGAGGACCAACGUUGGGGCCUCCGGGUCACAGUGCUGGGUGCACAGCGGAAGUCAGGGCUUGCCCCUCUUUGUGGGCCUUCUUACCAGCUGAAGCACUCCCCUGGGUUUGACCCUGAUGGGUUAGGCACUGAAACCUGCAGCUGGGGCAGAUGAGGUGAGGCCAAGACCAGAACAGCCGCCUCCACCGCGCACAGGCAGCUCCAGACCUGCUGAUGACCACAGACCGUUGGUUGGCCCUGGGGGCACCGUUCACACUCCUGCCUCCUCCAAGCAGGACCCGAAGACUCUCACCAAGCACACAUGAAACGCAUCACUGCGGCACAGAUGGAAGUAGGGUGACAGGCUCCUCACUUCAGGCUCCACUAAACAGCCAUGAAGGAAUUAGAACGCUGUAAACAUACGAGACCAGAGAGAAUGAGAGAACAGGGUUGUAGGCGGUAGGUGACACAAGGGGACUGGCAAGGAGCCACUGGGCUCCCCCCAGGGAGGAGAGUCAGAUCUGAAGGACACCAGUGCAGAGAAAGGAGCUGGGGUUGGGGAGGGCAUGGAUGAGGAGCAAGAUUGGGAAUGGGGGAUUGGGUAAAAAUUCACAGAUAGGGUGGAUAACCCAGGCAAGCCUCCAAAUGCCCAUAACAGAUCAUUCUCUAGCCCUCCCCAGACCACCCGCACCAAGAGCAGGAAACCAAAGACACUUCCUGG